UGAGGAAUUUUGCGCAAUAGGGGAAACCCUGACGCAGCAACGCCGCGUGAGUGAAGAAGGCCUUCGGGUCGUAAAGCUCUGUCAAGUGGGAAAAAAUUCAGACGGUGAAUAGCCGGCUGAAGUGAUGGUACCACUAGAGGAAGCACCGGCUAACUCCGUGCCAGCAGCCGCGGUAAUACGGAGGGUGCAAGCGUUGUUCGGAAUUACUGGGCGUAAAGCGCGUGUAGGCGGUUUGGUAAGUCAGAUGUGAAAGCCCUGGGCUCAACCCAGGAAGUGCAUUUGAUACUGCCUUACUCGAGUAUGGGAGAGGAGAGUGGAAUUCCCAGUGUAGAGGUGAAAUUCGUAGAUAUUGGGAGGAACACCCGUGGCGAAGGCGACUCUCUGGACCAAUACUGACGCUGAGACGCGAAAGCGUGGGGAGCAAACAGG
RNAcentral lists this ribosomal RNA (429 nucleotides) under uncultured Desulfobacterium sp. RNAcentral's name for it is "bacterial SSU rRNA". It matches the Rfam family "Bacterial small subunit ribosomal RNA", at positions 355 to 776 of the family's 1533-position model. The record is from RNAcentral. Lineage: Bacteria; Pseudomonadati; Thermodesulfobacteriota; Desulfobacteria; Desulfobacterales; Desulfobacteriaceae.